AUCUUAUCGUUACUUUUGUUUAAACUGAAUUGAAAACAAAUCAAAUACUGAACUGGUACGAGUUUGGAUUAUGAAUGUUAAUAACAUUUUUAAGAAAUGUCUUUUACAAAUAUAACUCUACAUAUACAUAAUAUAUUGCAAACAUGAUAGCAAAUAUAGUUUUUGAAAUCAAUCCCGCACGUACGUGCGGGUCCAAAUCUAGU
This 203-nucleotide long non-coding RNA is filed under the name Capsella grandiflora. RNAcentral's name for it is "long non-coding RNA (CGRA_LNC000753)". Lineage: Eukaryota; Viridiplantae; Streptophyta; Magnoliopsida; Brassicales; Brassicaceae. The record is from RNAcentral.